GGGAACAUAGCUCAGCUGGGAGAGCGGCGCCCUUACAAGGCGUAGGUCACAGGUUCGAUCCCUGUUGUUCCCACCA
Molecule: transfer RNA, 76 nt
Filed under: Deltaproteobacteria bacterium
Lineage: Bacteria; Pseudomonadati; Myxococcota; Myxococcia
Also listed under: 1 other name
Description: tRNA-Val
Rfam family: tRNA
About the family: Transfer RNA (tRNA) molecules are approximately 80 nucleotides in length. Their secondary structure includes four short double-helical elements and three loops (D, anti-codon, and T loops).
Source: RNAcentral